RNAcentral lists this ribosomal RNA (303 nucleotides) under uncultured bacterium. Its description in RNAcentral is "partial 16S ribosomal RNA". It matches the Rfam family "Bacterial small subunit ribosomal RNA", at positions 507 to 807 of the family's 1533-position model. The record is from RNAcentral.
AGCAGCCGCCGCGGGAAUACGGAGGGGGCUAGCGUUGUUCGGAAUUACUGGGCGUAAAGCGCACGUAGGCGGCUUGGUAAGUUAGAGGUGAAAGCCCGGAGCUCAACUCCGGAAUUGCCUUUAAGACUGCCGAGCUAGUAGGUGAGAGAGGUAAGUGGAAUUCCGAGUGUAGAGGUGAAAUUCGUAGAUAUUCGGAAGAACACCAGUGGCGAAGGCGGCUUACUGGCUCAUUCUAGACGCUGAGGUGCGAAAGCGUGGGGAGCAAACAGGAUUAGAGACCCCUGUAGUCCCUGUCUCUUAUAC